This 72-nucleotide transfer RNA is filed under the name Camelus bactrianus (Bactrian camel). It matches the Rfam family "tRNA". Rfam says of the family: Transfer RNA (tRNA) molecules are approximately 80 nucleotides in length. RNAcentral also lists the same sequence under 2 other names. The record is from Rfam by way of RNAcentral. Lineage: Eukaryota; Metazoa; Chordata; Mammalia; Artiodactyla; Camelidae.
GUUGGUAUAGCUCAGUGGUAGAGCACAAACUUUGCAUGUACAAUGUCCUGGGUUCAAUUUCCAGUACCUCCA